Molecule: long non-coding RNA, 477 nt
Filed under: Bos taurus (domestic cattle)
Lineage: Eukaryota; Metazoa; Chordata; Mammalia; Artiodactyla; Bovidae
Description: long non-coding RNA NONBTAT011066
Source: RNAcentral
GACAAACCAAAUCAUAUAUGUAGUGUUUAACCUGAAGCCAUCCCCACAUCCUUAAAACCAUAAACCACAUCCCAUUUUCCCCCCUCAUGCUUAAAGAACAGAGGUAAACAUUAACUGUCUAAAGGAAUUGGUAAUGAGACACGUAUGAUUACAAACCAAACCUGUUGAAAUGAACUUUAAAAGACAUCAGAAUUAUCAGCCAUCAUGUUUCGACACUGUAAAUGCAGGAAAUUGUAACAGGAUACAGUUGGGUUAAUUAUGCAAUAUAUCUUACCAAUUGUCUAGCCCUUGUGUAUUGUUCUAAAAACUAAAGUUUGAAUCUUUAUGGUCUUGCCUGCUAGAUAUUAUGUUCUUUGGUAGAGAAUUCCCAUAGUCUGUACUCAACAAGUGCCUAAAAUUGAUUUGUGUUGAUUUUUAAGUCCAUCUAAUAAAUUAUAUGUGUUUUCUAUGGUAUUAUAUGUGCUUGGCUUACUGAUG